CUGCUGCCAAGGCCCAUGGGGAGCGCCUGCAUCGCCUCGCAGCCUCGCGCAACAUCACAGCAGCGCCGCAACCGUACUCGCUUAUCCGAUUCUUCUUUUCUUGCCUUGUUGAGCAGGUCCGCCCCCUCCCCCUUCCCCACCUCCCUACGCCGCCUCCUCUGGUGCCGUUUUUCGUUGGUGGUGGUGCUCUCCUCUUUUUUUGCUCGACGCUCCGCUCUCCGUUCCUUUGACGAGCGUCAUGCGUACUGGAUGGCCGCCAAGACCGCUCUCGAGCUGAACAGCGUGGGCAGAGUCCCCCCGCGCGAAGGUGGCCUCUCGUCGCGUGUAGCGCCGUCGGUGGUGGAGGUGCUCCCGGGACUGUAUUUGAUUGCGACGAUAGUGCGGGCAAAGAACCGGUGUCUUCUGGAGCUGCUGCAACCAACGGCAACGUCUUCCGACGUAGUCUCUCGCUCGUCUGCGUCAACGCACAACGACGUGCUGCAACGACGCUUGUCGGAGUCCUUGGAAAGCUCCGCAAGACACGCAUCCGCAGUGAAUGUACCAGCGACACUCAUGUCCGCCUUUCGAGUGCCGCGAGUCAUCCAACUCGUCGCCGAGGAUGAGGGGAUUAUUGAAACCGUUGCCCUCGUUCGAGAACCGCUUGGCUUGGCGUUCUCGUCCGCUCCCGAGGGAGAAGAGGGCAGCGCUGCGCGGACGAGCGCCGUAGACGGCGCGUCGCCAACGUCCAUGCACCACGUGCAUGUGCACUUCUUCAUCGGCACUUCCAACGGCACGGUCCUCGUGGGAAACGCGUUGCGCGGCACCAUCGUGGCGGUCGCGCAGUUUCAGUACCAUCAUCGCUUCGAUGAUGAGCGACGGGGCGAUCGACUCACCACAACCUCCACCAGCCGCACAGGCGAAAGCCGCGAUGACCCGGCGGCAGGAUGCCCGAUGAACGAAAAGGUCACCGCUGUGAACCAGUCGGUGGUGAAGUUUGUGGUACGCCAGCGGUCCGACGCGCUGCUGUGGAAUCCAUCUCUUCCCUUCUCGCAACUGUCGGCGGGCGCGGGGUCGAACCGGGGUAGUGGCCGCUCAGCAAAAGCCAGCGAUACGCCCCCAUCUCCCACAGCGGACUCGCGCGUCGUGAGCGUCUUUGUCGCACACAGUGGCGGCAAGGUAGUCGAGCUCUCCCGCGCUGCACUGGACGUGUUUGUGCGCGUCUCUGUCAAUCGUCUUGAUGGUUGUCGCCCGCAUCUCAUAUUGGAGUGGUCGCCGGAGACGUCCACCACCGCCUUCCCAGUCGCCGGACCUGCCAGCGAGUUUGCUGCACACGUCGACUGUGUUUCGGUGUUGGCGCCGUCGCCGGCCUCGUACUCGACUCUCGAGAGCCGCACCGCGUCCACCAAGUCAGCAACGGCGGAGUCGACCACCUUCUCCAUUUGCGAUGUCGACAUCGUCAGAGAGCCCUUCGGCGGCGGAUCGUCGCCGCUGCUCUCUCCCCUUGAAGUACAGCGCGGCUUCUCCGAUGUGCUUCUUGUCGGCGGCACAAGCCCGCUCUUUUCGUCGUUUCGCCUACAACCUCCGCCCUCGCGCUUCUCGGCAUCCAACACAGUUGCGGCUGUCAAGCACAUGGUAACAGGUGUGGCUCGCUCGCUGUGGUCCAAAGCCAUCGGCACAUCGAAGACAGUGGAACACCCGCCGCACCUCAAAAAAGUCGCUGCACUGCGCACGCACACGCUUUUGCAAGCCGACGCGAAAUGCACUGCACUUCAGGUGGACCCCACGCAGCAAUGGGCGGCGCUUGCGAUUGAGGGUGGCGGCCGCAUCUACGUGGCCGAUGUGCAGAGCGGCAUCGUGGCUACGGUGCUGAAAGGCUGUCGCGCGGCGCAGUUUACGUGGUGGUGGACGGAGCUCGCCGCUGGCAGGCCUGCCCUGUUGCUCGUCGUGUACCUGCCCCUCCGCAGCGCCGUCGAGGUGUACACGACGCGGACGUGGCAGCGCCUCGCCGCACGACACGUGCCGAAGGGGAGUGUGCUGCUGCGAUGCUGUGGGGCGCCAUGUGAAGCAAUGCGAGGGACGUCAGACUACCACGGACAAGACCGACCCGCUGCUGCUUGUGAUGGUAAUGGCACUGCCCCGCUGCUCAUGGACCCUGCCGGAAACGUGUUCCGUGUUGGUAUACAGUGGGUGCUCGACAAUCCACAGGCAAGCCUCGCUCGCCUGCGCUCCACGCAGCCCGCAUCGCUGAGGGAAGGCGCAGAAGAGGCGUGUCCCGCUAGGAAGACGUGUUCGCUGAGCACAUCGGUGCUGCGGGGUUGCCAGACCCCGGAUGAUUUCCUUGAACUUGCUCUGAAGCUGCCCUUGCCAUGCCCGCGCGUGCAGCGAGUGGCCUCCGCAGGAGGAGGAUGCAGUGUUGCUGGUGGCGAUGAGGUGCGCGGUUACGUAAAGGAGCUGGCCGUGCUCUGCGAGACAGUCCAGCGUCGUUUUGCGCCAGGGUACGCAGAGAUCGCCGUGACACCGAUCCCGAGCUCCGCGCAGGACAUUCUGGGCGGCGCGGUGACGGCAGUGCCGCGAGGCGUGACCGCGGCACAGUGCCUUCACUACGUUCAAGUGUAUGCGAGCUUGGUGGAGAACUACCAGCGCUUCCUCACCUGCAAAGACGUCGCUGCGACCCUUUACUUCGACCCACACCAGUGGACCUCACCCCUUGUGACUCCGGACCUGUGGAAGGCGACGUUCUGCAUCGCGGCACAUCCUGCCGUAGCUGUUUUUGUGAAAACCAUGGACGCGUAUGUCGCCGCAACCCUCGCAGCGCACCCCGCCGAACUGCACAUCUACAAGAAGCACGUCUCCACGUACCUGCAGCAGGCGAUGCGCGGCCCCCCUCGUGCAUCUGCUUCAGCGGGGUCAGGCAGCACAUGCCCUGCGGCGCGGGAGCUGCUGACAACCAGAGCGGCGCCGUGCUUGGCCGACCCCUCCAGCUUCAUGCCCCUUCCCGCCUUUCUGCGCUGCUUCUACGUCGGCUCGAUGCACCCCACCUUUCUGCGCGGUGCCAUCGAGAGCGCCGAAGACGCCGACGGCAGCGUCAGCAUUCUUGGCCCCUUAUCCGACCUCGUCUUUGGGGUUUGGGGCAUGGACAGCUUUCUCGCGCAGCUUCCCGCGCUCCGACAGGUUGGCUGCGCAGACGGCGAUGUCGCGCACAUCACUGUCACUUGGGUGGCGCGUCAAGCCGGCCGCGACCUGGCCGCGUUGCUGUCCACCACCACAGUAGGAUGCCUCGCUGCCACGCUGCUCAGCUUCUCUGACGACCACUUCGCGGCGGCUUUGGCACGGGCACCGAUCCCGUUUGUCUCCGUUAAUGGCGAUUUGGCGGCUCGCGCGGCGGUGGACAGCGUGACAGGCCUGCUGUGGUGCUGUGCAGUACGGGUGGCGCUGCGGCGACGGACGUCGUCCUUCGCACAAAGCGAGCUGCUGCUGCGCCGCAUGCGGCAGCUACUUCAACUGUGGCAUAGUCUCUCCAAGUGCUCACCCCCACUGAGCGCCCCCGAGUCCACGGAUGCGGAUCCGGGGCGGAGCGGCAGCCCCGCCUCCGAGGACGCGCUGGCCUUGCAUCUCCGCCUGAGCGGCGUCGAUCCGUCGUGCUUGCCAACCGCAGAGGCUGCCGGUCGUACGUGGGACAGCGGCGGAAGAAAAGUGACCGCGACAAGUGUGGUUGCCUGCUCUGAGGGGGACGUCAUGGAGGUGUAUCUGCAGCGCAACGGCAUCACAGCCACGUUCCUGGAUGUCUUCGCGGUGCCGCGAGCAGACGCCGACGCGGACGCCGCCCGUUUUUUCCCGUCCCUUUCUGCCUUUGUCUCGCUGCUCGGCGAGACGGCGCACGCUUGCGAGCCAGACGCCGUUGCCGUCCCGUCUUUGGCGUGGAUCGUCGGGCACCAGUGGGAUGUGGAGCGGUUUCGCAACGCGGCACUGCGGCCAAUCGAGCAGCUCUGGCAGCAGCUGACCUCGACGUCCGCAAAGGACGGCACAGGCGGGCCCUUGAGUAGCAGCUCGUCGGCCAUGUACGCGUCCUGCCUCAUUCUCGUGACCAUGAGCGUCCUGCAGCACGUCUUGCGCCCUCUCACCGACUUAGAUUUUUUUUUCUGGGAAACCGACGCCGUCCCUGAUGGAAAUUUCUUUCCUGUCGACGGCACCCCAUCCGGUCUCGUGCUGUCCGGCAGUCGCACCACUCGCGACUACCUGAACAGUGUGCAGCGACUCUCGAGUCUGCUGGAGAGCAUGUUGCUGCGCGUCGUCGCGCCGCUCGAGAACGCCGAGCGGGCUCUCCUCAUUCAGCAGAUCAACCUUGCCUUGGCAGCGGACGACGCGCUCCUCUUCCCGCUCGUGCCCAAUUUCCUGCGUGUGCGGCUGACGAUUUGGAUGCAGGUACUGGCCCAGACCCCGCGCGCCCCGCUGCGGCGGACGCAGCGAGUGCGGCGGCUGGUGGAGCUGAUCCUCUUCUUUUCCGAGGUGUCCUCCUUGACGGUGGGCGGUGUGCCGCUGACGCAGCUGCAGUCUCACCUCUCCAUUCCGUGGAGGGUCUUGCUCGGUGGUCCCAGCAGGCGGAUGCAGCUUCAGCUUCUCCCCACCGUGGCCCUCACGGACAGGGCGUCGCUGACAGCCUGUCGUGCCUCUCCGGUGGUCACCGCCUCGCGAUCCACGCGGCGCGCCGACUCCGUGCUUUCGCCGUACGCGGCGGAGGAGGAAGAUACACACAGUGCCCCGCUGAACGCGCGGGCAGCGGCAACGGUGCUUCGACGGUUUCUGGCCGCUGGAGGCGUCUUGCACGCGAAGCAGCGUGGAGCGGCCGCGAUCACCGCAGCAGGGCCAACGCCUUGCCUCGGUCUCAUCGCCGAGGAUACGCGUCAAGCCCUGGCGCGUCUAGCACAGUGCCUCGGCCUCCACGAGUCUUUCCCCGACAUCGCCGAUGUGGUGCUUAUGGACUACGAGAUCAAGCAUCUGUUCCCCGUCGCUACUGUAGAACAGGAGAUGUUGCUGUUGUCCUCCAAGGCGGCCGCGCCCCAGGUGGCGGCAUCGAUUCUGCAGUCAUUUUUGGUUCUCAUUCUUCAGUGCAUGUCGGCGCGGCGUAACGGGUAUGGGCAGCGCGGCGACCGUGCCGCCUACGACGCUGCUUCGAAACAGCUGCGUAGCAUGGCACAGGCCGCCUCGGUGGAGUUACGAACGUGGCUGCAAGAACGCGAGGAAGAGAUGACGGUGGCAGCGACGCCCGAGAGCAGGACGAAGAGGGGCGCAGCGGGUGGCAGAGACUCCACAUCGUCUGCCCUACGCGGCCCUUGCGCUGUGCCGGCCGAGUCCGUCUUGGCUGGGCCCGGGUGGGUGACAUCAGCAGAACACCAGGAGAUGGGCCGCCUGGUGUCGUCCGUCCUUUCGACCGGGAAGGGAAGUGCGGCCAACAAAAACCUCUUCCACCUGCUCUUCACACUCUCGCAGUGGGCAUGCGAAGGUCGCCUGUACCUCCCAUCUGCUGCGCAGCGAGUGGCCCACGAACUGCCGCUGAUCGUUGAGAGGUGGGAGAAGCUGAUUUGAGGCCGGGGCACGCGUUUAAUCGAGCGCUGCUGCGUGUCGCCCCAUUGUUGAACUCUUAGCUGCUGCGCCGUCGUCGAUGGCGGAUUCCCUUAGCGCCUUCGUGGGCUCGGUCGUCUCUUCUCCUUUGCCGUGCCUACCCCGUGUGCGCGCGUAGCGUACCGGUGCCUGGCGUGCUUAGCCCCGCGCUAUUCGUGUAUGUGUGUGUGCGCGCGAAGCUGCUCCGAUGCGGUGCGCCGCAGCUGGUCG
Molecule: unclassified non-coding RNA, 5808 nt
Filed under: Leishmania donovani
Lineage: Eukaryota; Euglenozoa; Kinetoplastea; Trypanosomatida; Trypanosomatidae
Description: gene:LdHU3.36.7930(CDS-product:Rab3_GTPase-activa ting_protein_regulatory_subunit_N-inus_putative)
Source: RNAcentral